Molecule: ribosomal RNA, 204 nt
Rfam family: Eukaryotic large subunit ribosomal RNA
AUGGUCAUCAACGACCCGUCUUGAAACACGGACCAAGGAGUCGUCUUCGUAUGCGAGUGUUCGGGUGUCAAACCCCUACGCGUAAUGAAAGUGAACGCAGGUGAGAGCUUCGGCGCAUCAUCGACCGAUCCUGAUGUUCUCGGAUGGAUUUGAGUAAGAGCAUACGGGGCCGGACCCGAAAGAAGGUGAACUAUGCCUGUGUAG